GGAUAUCUUGGUCCCUCGCAUCGAUGAAGAACGUAGCAAAUGCGAUACUUGGUGUGAAUUGCAGAAUCCCGUGAACCAUCGAGUUUUUGAACGCAAGUUGCGCCCUAAGCUCUCGGGCUGAGGGCAAGCCUGCN
This 134-nucleotide ribosomal RNA is filed under the name Zannichellia palustris. Its description in RNAcentral is "5.8S ribosomal RNA". It matches the Rfam family "5.8S ribosomal RNA", at positions 14 to 145 of the family's 154-position model. Rfam says of the family: 5.8S ribosomal RNA (5.8S rRNA) is a component of the large subunit of the eukaryotic ribosome. It is transcribed by RNA polymerase I as part of the 45S precursor that also contains 18S and 28S rRNA. Functionally, it is thought that 5.8S rRNA may be involved in ribosome translocation. The record is from RNAcentral. Lineage: Eukaryota; Viridiplantae; Streptophyta; Magnoliopsida; Alismatales; Potamogetonaceae.